Molecule: non-coding RNA, 113 nt
Organism: Acanthosepion pharaonis
Lineage: Eukaryota; Metazoa; Mollusca; Cephalopoda; Sepiida; Sepiidae
Source: the annotation of a GenBank genome assembly
UACAGCCAUAUCAGGAUGAAACACCGGUACUCGUAUGAUCACCGAAGUUAAUCAAGGUGGAACCUGGUCACUACCUAGAUCUGUGACCUCUUAGGAAUACCAGAUGCUGUAAG